RNAcentral lists this small RNA (863 nucleotides) under Pan troglodytes (chimpanzee). Its description in RNAcentral is "retained intron". The record is from RNAcentral. Lineage: Eukaryota; Metazoa; Chordata; Mammalia; Primates; Hominidae.
CAUUGACGUGGAGGUGGAGGAGCCAUUAAAGGGGCAGAUGAGCAGCUUCCUCCUGUCCACGGCCAACCAGCAGGAGAUCAGUGCUCUGGACAGUAAGAUCCAUGAGACGAUUGAGUCCAUAAACCAGCUCAAGAUCCAGAGGGACUUCAUGCUAAGCUUCUCCAGAGACCCCAAAGGCUAUGUCCAAGACCUGCUCCGCUCCCAGAGCCGGGACCUCAAGGUGAAGAGGGAGACUCAGGGAGUACUGGAGUGGAAGACAAGCACAGUGGGAAAGAGAGUAAACGUUGUACUCCAGGGGCAGGUGAGGGGAUUCAGGGCUCAGGGCUCACCCCACGCUCCCUCCCAGGUGAUGACAGAUGUAGCCGGCAACCCCGAAGAGGAGCGCCGGGCUGAGUUCUACCACCAGCCCUGGUCCCAGGAGGCCGUCAGUCGCUACUUCUACUGCAAGGUACGCAGGGACCCUUGCCCUGAGGCUUCCCCAUCCUCAACUCCAAGAGAAACCUCCCUGUUCAGCUCGUGGGCAGCCCUCGCAGCUCCCCACAGUAAAGCUUCACCACACUGCCUCACCAUGCAAUGGCCCUCCCUGCUCCCAGAUGCUCUUUCAGGGCAGGCGGUGUCAGUAGGUGGGAUUGUCCUGAUCACUCACCAGAACACUGACACCUGCUCCUGUUCUCACUUCCUCUAAAGAUCCAGCAGCGCAGGCAGGAGCUGGAGCAGUCGCUGGUUGUGCGCAACACCUAGGAGCCCAAAAAUAAGCAGCACGACGGAACUUUCAGCCGUGUCCCGGGCCCCAGCAUUUUGCCCCGGGCUCCAGCAUCACUCCUCUGCCACCUUGGGGUGUGGGGCUGGAUUAAAAGUCAUUC